Molecule: ribosomal RNA, 253 nt
Filed under: uncultured bacterium
Lineage: Bacteria
Description: partial 16S ribosomal RNA
Rfam family: Bacterial small subunit ribosomal RNA
Source: RNAcentral
UACAGAGGGUGCAAGCGUUGUUCGGAAUUAUUGGGCGUAAAGGGCGCGUAGGCGGUGCGGUAAGUCUGUAGUGAAAUCUCUGGGCUCAACUCAGAGUCUGCUAUAGCAACUGCCGUGCUCGAGUGUGGGAGAGGUGAGUGGAAUUCCCGGUGUAGCGGUGAAAUGCGUAGAUAUCAGGAGGAACACCGGUGGCGAAGGCGGUUCUCUGGGCCUUACCUGACGCUGAGGAGCGAAAGCAUGGGGAGCAAACAGG